This 211-nucleotide ribosomal RNA is filed under the name uncultured bacterium. RNAcentral describes it as "partial 16S ribosomal RNA". It matches the Rfam family "Bacterial small subunit ribosomal RNA", at positions 524 to 744 of the family's 1533-position model. The record is from RNAcentral.
UACGGGGGAGCAAGCGUUGUUCGGAAUUACUGGGCGUAAAGGCUCGUAGGCGCCAACUAAGUCAGACGUGAAAUCCCUCGGCUUAACCGGGAACUGCAUCUGAUACUGGAUGGCUUGAGUUCGGGAGAGGGAUGCGGAAUUCCAGGUGUAGCGGUGAAUGCGUAGAUAUCGUCAAGACACCGAUAGUGAAGACAGCUUACCAGCUCAACUG